AGAGUUUGAUCCUGGCUCAGAGCGAACGUUAGCGGCGGGCCUAACACAUGCAAGUCGAGCGAGAAAGGGGCUUCGGCCCUGAGUAAAGCGGCGGACGGGUGAGUAACACGUAGGUAAUCUUCCCUUGAGCGGGGGACAACGAGCCGAAAGGCUCGCUAAUACCGCAUACGUUUUCAGCGGCUCUGGUCGCUGGAAGGAAAGCUAGGCAGCAAUGUCCGGCACUCGAGGAGGAGCCUGCGUCGCAUCAGCUAGUUGGUGGGGUAACGGCCUACCAAGGCGAAGACGCGUAGCUGGUCUGAGAGGAUGAUCAGCCACACUGGGACUGAGACACGGCCCAGACUCCUACGGGAGGCAGC
This 356-nucleotide ribosomal RNA is filed under the name uncultured delta proteobacterium. RNAcentral describes it as "bacterial SSU rRNA". It matches the Rfam family "Bacterial small subunit ribosomal RNA", at positions 8 to 352 of the family's 1533-position model. The record is from RNAcentral. Lineage: Bacteria; Deltaproteobacteria.